GCAGUCGUGGCGAAAUUGGCACACGCGCAUGAUUCAGGUUCAUGUGGACUUACGUCCAUGAGGGUUCAACUCCCUUCGACUGCA
RNAcentral lists this transfer RNA (84 nucleotides) under Eubacterium sp. RNAcentral's name for it is "tRNA-Leu". It matches the Rfam family "tRNA". Rfam says of the family: Transfer RNA (tRNA) molecules are approximately 80 nucleotides in length. Their secondary structure includes four short double-helical elements and three loops (D, anti-codon, and T loops). The record is from RNAcentral. Lineage: Bacteria; Bacillati; Bacillota; Clostridia; Eubacteriales; Eubacteriaceae. RNAcentral also lists the same sequence under 2 other names.